CAGCCGCCACGGGUAAAACGGAGGGUGCAAGCGUUAAUCGGAAUUACUGGGCGUAAAGCGCACGCAGGCGGUCUGACAAGUCAGAUGUGAAAUCCCCGGGCUUAACCUGGGAACUGCAUUUGAAACUGUCAGGCUGGAGUCUUGUAGAGGGGGGUGGAAUUCCAGGUGUAGCGGUGAAAUGCGUAGAGAUCUGGAGGAAUACCGGUGGCGAAGGCGGCCCCCUGGACAAAGACUGACGCUCAGGUGCGAAAGCGUGGGGAGCAAACAGGAUUAGAUACCCGUGUAGUCCCUGUCUCUUAUU
Molecule: ribosomal RNA, 301 nt
Filed under: uncultured bacterium
Lineage: Bacteria
Description: partial 16S ribosomal RNA
Rfam family: Bacterial small subunit ribosomal RNA
Source: RNAcentral